RNAcentral lists this transfer RNA (77 nucleotides) under Clostridia bacterium. Its description in RNAcentral is "tRNA-Val". It matches the Rfam family "tRNA". From Rfam's summary of the family: Transfer RNA (tRNA) molecules are approximately 80 nucleotides in length. The record is from RNAcentral. Lineage: Bacteria; Bacillati; Bacillota; Clostridia.
GGAAGCAUAGCUCAGAUGGUUAGAGUACUUGCUUGACAUGCAAGGGGUCGCUGGUUCGAAUCCAGCUGUUUCCACCA